This is a long non-coding RNA of Peromyscus californicus insignis, 1236 nucleotides long. RefSeq lists it as uncharacterized. The record is from RefSeq and is a predicted model, not a curated record. The transcript is spliced from 3 exons. Lineage: Eukaryota; Metazoa; Chordata; Mammalia; Rodentia; Cricetidae.
CCCCCUCUCUCUGUUUUGCUCUUUCGCACUCUCUCUCUGUAAAGUGAUCAGUUUUGUCCUGCUUUGUGUUCCCACCAUUAUGUGCUGUCCUGGGAGGAGCAGCUGAUGGUGAGCAGGAGCCUCUGUCCUGGGAGGAGCAGCUGAUGGUGAGCAGGAGCCUCUGUCCUGGGAGGAGCAGCUGAUGGUGAGCAGGAGCCUCUGUCCUGGGAGGAGCAGAUGAUGGUGAGCAGGAGCCUCUGUCCUGGGAGGAGCAGCUGAUGGUGAGCAGGAGCCUCUGUCCAGGGAGGAGAAGCUGAUGAGACUCCCAAGCCUCUGCAGCUUAGGAUGGUACAUAAAUCUCAACCAUCUGGCCCUUCUUCAAGUCUCAUAUUUUGGUCCACAUUCCUGUACUGUGUGCACAGGAGUAAGACUUCCCAGGCAGGGCCUGUCACCCGCUCUCCCUCCAAGAGGACGCUUCAUCUUCUUUCCUUCAUUCUUCAUGAUGCCCUUCCGUGUAAGUCUACCCUCAGUAAGGACCCUCUCUUACCCACGUCUCUGCACUGACAGGGAGCAUCAGCAUUCUGGUCUGGCACUGUGUCCUGUGAAUUAGGAUGUUUGCAGAAUUCCGAAGGCUAAUUUUCCUCAGUUCAAGAGACCAAGGAGACUGUAACUGGGCCAAUUGUUGCAUUUGUGCGCCUAGAUUCCUUACUUCAUAAUAAAGAAACUUAUUCUUUCAAGCCACUGCUGUUCAAAGUACGUCCAUAAACUGGCAGUCCUGUCUGGCCUCGCCUGAGAGCUUGUUAGAAAGGUCAAGAUUUCAAGCUUCACUCACACCUGCAGAAUUUGCAUUCCAACACGCUCAGGGCGGACCGUGUGCAUGCUGCAGCUUAGUCUGACCUAAACACCCAGGCGAAACCACGUUUCUGACAGUGGGACUGAGAAGGAAGACGUGGUCUGUCUCCGUUUUGGUGAUGUAGGCUGGUUUGCUUGGUGGAGUGCCGUGGUUCCCCGGUAUAGCUCAGGCUGGCCUCAAGCUUGCAUUCCUGCUUCCACACUCUUGGCAUUUCCGUCAGGUAAUUCUUUGCUCAGUGAGGUCGUGCUAGGCACUGCAGGAUGUUCGGAGCCUCUCCGACCUUCUCCACUCCAUACUUGAAACACCAGGGCUCACCUGCCACAUUUAAGUCAUGAGAGCCAAAACUGUCUCCAGAUGUUGCUAGUGGCCCACGUGGGGCCAAAUCACUCACCCAUUGCCUGGUU